CUAAUACAUGCAAGUCGAGCGAUGAUAAAAGAUAGCUUGCUAUUUUAUGAAAAGCGGGGGAACGGUUGAGUACGCGGUGGGAAUCUUGCCGAGUAGCGGGGGACACGUUUGGAAACGACGCCUAAUACGCAUUACAAUUGAGAAUCGCAUGAUUUUAUUUUAAAGAAGCCAAUGCUUCACUACUUGAUGAUCCCGCGUUGUAUUAGCUAGUNGGUAGUGUAAAGGACUACCAAGGCGAUGAUACAUAGCCGACCUGAGAGGGUGAUCGGCCACACUGGGACUGAGACACGGCCCAGACUCCUACGGAGGGCAGCAGUAGGNAAUCUUCGGCAAUGGGGGCAACCCUGACCGAGCAACGCGNCGUGAGUGAAGAAGGUUUUCGGAUCGUAAAACUCUGUGUUUAGAGAAGAACGUUAAGUAGAGUGGAAAAUUACUUAAGUGACGGUAUCUAACCAGAAAGGGACGGCUAACUACGUGCCAGCAGCCGCGGUAAUACGUAGGUCCCAAGCGUUGUCCGGAUUUAUUGGGCGUAAAGCGAGCGCAGGUGGUUUCUUAAGUCUGAUGUAAAAGGCAGUGGCUCAACCAUUGUGUGCAUUGGAAACUGGGAGACUUGAGUGCAGGAGAGGAGAGUGGAAUUCCAUGUGUAGCGGUGAAAUGCGUAGAUAUAUGGAGGAACACCGGAGGCGAAAGCGGCUCUCUGGCCUGUAACUGACACUGAGGCUCGAAAGCGUGGGGAGCAAACAGGAUUAGAUACCCUGGUAGUCCACGCCGUAAACGAUGAGUGCUAGCUGUAGGGAGC
Molecule: ribosomal RNA, 799 nt
Filed under: Lactococcus cremoris
Lineage: Bacteria; Bacillati; Bacillota; Bacilli; Lactobacillales; Streptococcaceae
Also listed under: 1 other name
Description: bacterial SSU rRNA
Rfam family: Bacterial small subunit ribosomal RNA
Source: RNAcentral